Molecule: ribosomal RNA, 110 nt
Organism: Sinocyclocheilus anshuiensis
Lineage: Eukaryota; Metazoa; Chordata; Actinopteri; Cypriniformes; Cyprinidae
Source: Ensembl
UCUCUCGGAGAUACCUUAAGCUCAGUGGUUGCCCACUGAAGCUAAGCAGGGUUGAGCCUGGUCACUACCUGGAUGGGAGACCUCCUGGGAAAACUAGGUUGCUGUUGGAA